AGGCAAGGCAAGGCAAGGCAAGGCAAGGCAAGGCAAGGCCAGGCCAGGCAAGGCAAGGCAAGGCAAGGCCAGGCCAGGCAAGGUAAGGCAAGGUAAGGCAAGGCAAGGCCAGGAAAUAAUAGGCUAGUCCAGGCAAGGCCAGGCAAGUCCAAACAAUACGAGGCCAGGCUAGGCUAGGCCAGGCGAGUCAAGGCAAGGCAAGGCCAGGCCAGGCCAGGCCAGGCAGGCCAGACCAAGAAUGGCCAGGAGAGGCCAUUCAAGGCAAGGCAAGUCCAGAGAAGGCCAGGCAAGAAAAGGCAAGUCCAG
This 306-nucleotide long non-coding RNA is filed under the name Gallus gallus (chicken). RNAcentral describes it as "lncRNA (ENSGALG00010005960.1)". The record is from RNAcentral. Lineage: Eukaryota; Metazoa; Chordata; Aves; Galliformes; Phasianidae.